This 131-nucleotide non-coding RNA is filed under the name Selaginella moellendorffii. Its description in RNAcentral is "Eukaryotic large subunit ribosomal RNA". It matches the Rfam family "Eukaryotic large subunit ribosomal RNA", at positions 2194 to 2324 of the family's 3401-position model. Lineage: Eukaryota; Viridiplantae; Streptophyta; Lycopodiopsida; Selaginellales; Selaginellaceae. The record is from Rfam by way of RNAcentral.
AAUCUUAGAAUAAAAUAAUGUGUCAAAGUGAAUAAAUUCAAUCAAUUGUAGGUAAAUUGGCAAGAGUGAUUAUGAUUCUUUUAAGGUAGUUAAAUGCCUCAUCAUCUAAUUAGUGACAUGUAUGAAUAGAU